ACUAGUUAUGUCUGGCUUCACUCCAUGGUCUUUCUGUGGUUAUCUCUUCUCCACUCCUCCUCCAUGGUUUCUCCCUCCAUCGACUCCACCCUGGGCCAUCCACCUGGCUGUGUCUUGGGUCCUCCUCCUGCCUCACCUUCCUCCUAGAACUCCUCCCUGGCCUCCUCCUCCAUUCCAUCCCCUCCAACUCCCCUCCUGGAUCCUGUGACUCCUCACUGGCCUCCUCCUGUUUCCAUGCACUCUCUCCUGGUUCCUCCUCCACAGACUCCCCUUCACCCCCUCCUUUCGUUUAGGUGCGGUGGUGUGCCUUUUAAAGGGGAGUGGGGAGGCGGGGAGGGGGUACUGUCACAACCUGACUUCCUCGUGUGUUUAUUUUUUUUCACCAUGUGCUCCAUUCUUCCAGUUCCAAUCAUUGUCAUUACCCUCAUUGUGUAUUUAAGUCCUUGUAUUCAGUUCAGCCAUUGUCUGCUAUAUUCUCACUAGUUAUGUCUGUCUUCACUCCAUGUUCUUCCUGUGUUCAUCUCCGUAAGUCUUGUAAAUGAAUAAAUGUGCUUUGAUAAACCUG
Molecule: long non-coding RNA, 565 nt
Filed under: Danio rerio (zebrafish)
Lineage: Eukaryota; Metazoa; Chordata; Actinopteri; Cypriniformes; Danionidae
Description: si:ch211-139o3.1 (ENSDARG00000097506.2)
Source: RNAcentral